ACAGCGAGCAUCAAAUGGUUGACCAGCUGACGCCCGCAGCUCCGUCGUGAGUGGACAGUUGGUUCUAAUAUAAAUUCGUCUUGUGGUUCUCUUCCUGUCUCCUUCGCCAACCUCAGCUCCUGAAAGUUCUCGCUGGUCUUUACAAUCAGCUUUCAAGCGAUUCUUUGAAGCACUGCAAAUAUGCCCACGAAACACGAGGCCACGUGGAGCUCCCAACUUGCUACUUAGCUAACAUUCAUUGUAAGUAAGGCUCAUCUGACUCCUAGUUAUUGUGAAACGCAAGCUAAUAUAACGUUUUAUGCUGCAAUUGUAUGAAAUAAUUCAUAACGUUAUAUCUUAACAUUGUGUUCCCCUCUUAUUUGUAGCAACUUUUGGAUGACUAUCCAAAAUGCUUCAUUGUGGGCGCAGACAACGUGGGCUCCAAGCAGAUGCAGACCAUCCGCCUGUCUCUGCGUGGGAAGGCUGUGGUGCUGAUGGGUAAAAACACCAUGAUGCGCAAAGCCAUUCGCGGCCACCUGGAGAACAAUGCUGCCCUGGAGAAGAAACGUGGGCUUUGUCUUCACAAAGGAGGAUCUGGCUGAGGUCCGGGACAUGCUGUUGAACAACAAGGUACCUGCAGCUUUCAUGCUAGAGCAAACUCCACUUGUCAUGUGAAUGUGCCAUCCCA
This is a non-coding RNA of Gasterosteus aculeatus aculeatus (three-spined stickleback), 667 nucleotides long. Lineage: Eukaryota; Metazoa; Chordata; Actinopteri; Perciformes; Gasterosteidae. The record is from RefSeq and is a predicted model, not a curated record.